RNAcentral lists this ribosomal RNA (315 nucleotides) under uncultured bacterium. RNAcentral's name for it is "bacterial SSU rRNA". It matches the Rfam family "Bacterial small subunit ribosomal RNA", at positions 28 to 334 of the family's 1533-position model. The record is from RNAcentral.
GGCGAACGCUGGCGGCGUGCCUAAUACAUGCAAGUCGAGCGGACCGAAGGGAGCUUGCUCUUUUAGGUUAGCGGCGGACGGGUGAGUAACACGUGGGCAACCUGCCCUGCAGACUGGGAUAACUUCGGGAAACCGGAGCUAAUACCGGAUAAUAUUUUGAACCGCAUGGUUCAAAAGUGAAAGACGGUCUUGCUGUCACUUAUAGAUGGAUCCGCGCUGCAUUAGCUAGUUGGUAAGGUAACGGCUUACCAAGGCAACGAUGCAUAGCCGACCUGAGAGGGUGAUCGGCCACACUGGAACUGAGACACGGUCCAG